This 65-nucleotide transfer RNA is filed under the name Dictyla platyoma. RNAcentral describes it as "tRNA-Phe". The record is from RNAcentral. Lineage: Eukaryota; Metazoa; Arthropoda; Insecta; Hemiptera; Tingidae.
AUUUAAAUAGCUUAAUUUUAAAGUGUAAUAUUGAAGAUAUUAAGAUAAGAUAAUCUUUUUAAAUA